RNAcentral lists this small RNA (394 nucleotides) under Histoplasma ohiense. Its description in RNAcentral is "hypothetical lncRNA". Lineage: Eukaryota; Fungi; Ascomycota; Eurotiomycetes; Onygenales; Ajellomycetaceae. The record is from RNAcentral.
CCGCCAUGCCGUCAACUGUUGUUAUGCCUCGUGGAAACUAUUCGCGAUAUAUAACUAAGAUUUGGGACGUUUCGCUUCCGCUUAGAAAAGAUAUUGAUAUUUAGUAACUACAUUUUUCGUAUGAAGCACUUGGGGUCAAGGACGAGAGUUUCUUACGUGCCAGCCACCAACUCAGGAACAUCCUAAGUAUUGUGGUGUUGAGGCACCUUGAACAUCUACAUAGCUAUAAAAUUACCCAGGCUUGCUGGUGGAGGUGCCAACGAUUGAUUGCUUCAUAGACUAUAGUUAGUAGGCAGCAGUGAGGAAAAUGGUAAGAUGAGUAUGAAUAGUUUCUACAAUAAGAAUUUGGUUGAAUAAUUUUGAUCAAUGCUUCAUCAGGGGGAAGAGAAGAGAA